GGACUUGUAUUAUAUGAUUGAAUAAGAUUCAAUUUUUAUCCCUAUAAAAGGGACCUCCCCUAAGGUCCUAAAAUCAUCCAAGCCAGCCCCUCUCCACCCCAAGAGAACCUCCCAUGCCCUCUCUUCCUCCCUUUUUCUCUUCUCCUUAGGCAUCCCCAUGCCAUACUACUUGGGACAUUCAUCCCAAGUUUUGCACACACCGAAGGAGUUGGGCAGCCCUUCAUCUGCUGGUUAUUGAUCUCUCGUAGCACUACAAGGCAAGGAGAAAUGUU
This 272-nucleotide long non-coding RNA is filed under the name Elaeis guineensis (African oil palm). Its description in RNAcentral is "long non-coding RNA (EGUI_LNC048838)". The record is from RNAcentral. Lineage: Eukaryota; Viridiplantae; Streptophyta; Magnoliopsida; Arecales; Arecaceae.